Molecule: transfer RNA, 67 nt
Filed under: Mutilla europaea
Lineage: Eukaryota; Metazoa; Arthropoda; Insecta; Hymenoptera; Mutillidae
Description: tRNA-Met
Source: RNAcentral
AUAUGAGUAAGCUAAAUUAUCAAGCUAUUAGGUUCAUACCCUAAACAUAGAACAAAUCUCUCAUAUA